RNAcentral lists this small RNA (18 nucleotides) under Arabidopsis thaliana (thale cress). RNAcentral's name for it is "ATSL300930". The record is from RNAcentral. Lineage: Eukaryota; Viridiplantae; Streptophyta; Magnoliopsida; Brassicales; Brassicaceae.
CGAAGAAGAGGAAGAAGA